Molecule: non-coding RNA, 444 nt
Organism: Cinara cedri
Lineage: Eukaryota; Metazoa; Arthropoda; Insecta; Hemiptera; Aphididae
Source: the annotation of a GenBank genome assembly
GUCGUAAUUUCGGUUUUUAAAAUGGAGCGAGGGGGGGGGCAUUAGAAAAAAAAACCGCCCGUCAACUUACAUUUUCACCUCAAUACAAAACACCAUUUUUACAUCGUUUCACGUACUUAAUAAUUUUAAAACGGGUUGAAUAACUUAAACAUAUUAUCUUUAAUACUCAUCGUACGCAUAAACAAUCAAUUUUUUUUUAGUGACAACGACGACUGAAUAAUAAAUAUUGGCGUGGAGGAAUGUCUGAACAUAUAUUACGUAUUAGCUACUGAAUGAAGACCUGGUUAGAGGGGAAUUUCACUCUUAUUUGUGUAUCAUAAAGUCAUAAAAACACGUAUGACAUGAAUCGUGUUUGCGGGCUCGCGGCCCAAAAUUGGCACGACACCGGCCCGCUGAUGACGAGAAGGGGGGGAACAAAUUUUAUCUAGUUGGCAGUUUGAGGAG